This is a non-coding RNA of Mycena polygramma, 94 nucleotides long. Lineage: Eukaryota; Fungi; Basidiomycota; Agaricomycetes; Agaricales; Mycenaceae. The record is from the annotation of a GenBank genome assembly.
GACCUGGUGGUGUAGUGGUUACAUGCCUGCUGAGCUUGGUCAAAAGUGUACCAAUCUAUCCAGGGGCUCCGUCGUUCGAAUCGGGGCCAGGUCA